AGAGUUUGAUCCUGGCUCAGGAUGAACGCUGGCGGCGUGCUUAACACAUGCAAGUCGAACGAUGAUCCCAGCUUGCUGGGGGAUUAGUGGCGAACGGGUGAGUAACACGUGAGUAACCUGCCCUUAACUCUGGGAUAAGCCUGGGAAACUGGGUCUAAUACCGGAUAUGACUCCUCAUCGCAUGGUGGGGGGUGGAAAGCUUUAUUGUGGUUUUGGAUGGACUCGCGGCCUAUCAGCUUGUUGGUGAGGUAAUGGCUCACCAAGGCGACGACGGGUAGCCGGCCUGAGAGGGUGACCGGCCACACUGGGACUGAGACACGGCCCAGACUCCUACGGGAGGCAGCAGUGGGGAAUAUUGCACAAUGGGCGAAAGCCUGAUGCAGCGACGCCGCGUGAGGGAUGACGGCCUUCGGGUUGUAAACCUCUUUCAGUAGGGAAGAAGCGAAAGUGACGGUACCUGCAGAAGAAGCGCCGGCUAACUACGUGCCAGCAGCCGCGGUAAUACGUAGGGCGCAAGCGUUAUCCGGAAUUAUUGGGCGUAAAGAGCUCGUAGGCGGUUUGUCGCGUCUGCCGUGAAAGUCCGGGGCUCAACUCCGGAUCUGCGGUGGGUACGGGCAGACUAGAGUGAUGUAGGGGAGACUGGAAUUCCUGGUGUAGCGGUGAAAUGCGCAGAUAUCAGGAGGAACACCGAUGGCGAAGGCAGGUCUCUGGGCAUUAACUGACGCUGAGGAGCGAAAGCAUGGGGAGCGAACAGGAUUAGAUACCCUGGUAGUCCAUGCCGUAAACGUUGGGCACUAGUGUGGGGGACAUUCCACGUUUUCCGUACCGUAGCUAACGCAUUAAGUGCCCCGCCUGGGGAGUACGGGCCGCAAGGCUAAAACUCAAGGAAUUGACGG
Molecule: ribosomal RNA, 896 nt
Filed under: uncultured bacterium
Lineage: Bacteria
Description: bacterial SSU rRNA
Rfam family: Bacterial small subunit ribosomal RNA
Source: RNAcentral